GACGAACGCUGGCGGCGUGCUUAACACAUGCAAGUCGAGCGGUAAGGCCCUUUCGGGGGUACACGAGCGGCGAACGGGUGAGUAACACGUGGGUGACCUGCCCUCAGCUCUGGGAUAAGCCUGGGAAACUGGGUCUAAUACCGGAUAUGACUUCGCAUCGCAUGGUGUGGGGUGGAAAGUUUUUCGGCUGGGGAUGGGCCCGCGGCCUAUCAGCUUGUUGGUGGGGUGAUGGCCUACCAAGGCGACGACGGGUAGCCGGCCUGAGAGGGCGACCGGCCACACUGGGACUGAGACACGGCCCAGACUCCUACGGGAGGGCAGCAGUGGGGAAUAUUGCGCAAUGGGCGGAAGCCUGACGCAGCGACGCCGCGUGGGGAUGACGGCC
RNAcentral lists this ribosomal RNA (385 nucleotides) under uncultured bacterium. Its description in RNAcentral is "bacterial SSU rRNA". It matches the Rfam family "Bacterial small subunit ribosomal RNA", at positions 28 to 416 of the family's 1533-position model. The record is from RNAcentral.